UCGUCAGGGUCUGAGCCAGUUUCCGAGCGCCGACUUCAGGCGCAUGCGCAUAAGCCAGUAUUCCUUCAUCUCCAAACAACUUCCAGUCUGAAAGCAGCAGAGGAUGGCCCAACUCCUUGGGCCCCUGAACACACGUGGGAGAUCCAGAAGAAGCUCCUGGCUCCUGAUUUCAGAUCAGCUCAGCUCCUGCUGUUGCAGCCAGUUGGGGAGUGAACCAGAGGAUGGAAGACCUCUCUCUGUAACUUUAAAAAAAGCUCUCUGCCAUGGCCUGGGGAAGCAGUAGAAGAUGGCUCAAGUCCUUGGAAUCCUGCACCAUCAUGGAGACCUGGAAGAAGCUUCUGGCUCCUGGCUUCGGCUCAGCCCAGCUGUGGCCAUUGCAGCCAUUUGGGGAGUGAACCAGUGGUUGGAAGACGUUUCUGUCUCUCUGUCUUUAUGUCUGUAACUGUACAUCACAUAUAAAUAAAUAAAUCUUAAAAAAAAAAAAAAAAAAAAAAAAAACAAACCCAGGGGCCCGUGCCGUGGUGCAGUAGGUUAAUCCUCUGCCUGUGGCGCUGGCAUCCCAUGUGGGUGCCGGUUCUAGUCCCGGCUGCUCCUCUUCCAAUCCAGCUCUCUGCUGUGGCCUGGGAAGGCAGUAGAAAAUGGCCCAAUUGCUUGGGCCCCUGUGCUCCCAUGGGAGACCAGGAAGAAGCACCUGGCUCCUGGCUUCAGAUCAGCACAUCUCCGGCCGUUUUGGCCACUUGGGGAGUGAAUCCGUGGACAGAAAACCUUUCUCUCUGUCUCUCCCUCUCACUGUCUGUAACUAUACCUCUCAAAUAAAUAAAUAAAAUUGUUUAAAAAAAAUACUACCAAGUGAGCCGCAGCGCCACACUGUCUAGCUCUGCCUGUCAAAAUGUAGUUUUUUCACUUUAUGUUGCUAUAUGGGCAAAAUGUUGAAAUCUUUACCUAAUAUAUACUAA
Lepus europaeus (European hare) is the source of this 956-nucleotide long non-coding RNA. RefSeq lists it as uncharacterized. The transcript has 4 exons. The record is from RefSeq and is a predicted model, not a curated record. Lineage: Eukaryota; Metazoa; Chordata; Mammalia; Lagomorpha; Leporidae.